This 781-nucleotide ribosomal RNA is filed under the name uncultured Dialister sp. RNAcentral's name for it is "bacterial SSU rRNA". It matches the Rfam family "Bacterial small subunit ribosomal RNA", at positions 28 to 776 of the family's 1533-position model. Lineage: Bacteria; Bacillati; Bacillota; Negativicutes; Veillonellales; Veillonellaceae. The record is from RNAcentral.
GACGAACGCUGGCGGCGUGCUUAACACAUGCAAGUCGAACGAAAAGAGGGAAAGAGCUUGCUCUUUCCGGAAUUGAGUGGCAAACGGGUGAGUAACACGUAAACAACCCGCCUUCAGGAUGGGGACAACAGACGGAAACGACUGCUAAUACCGAAUAAGUUCCAAGGGCCGCAUGGCCCAUGGAAGAAAAGGUGGCCUCUACCUGUAAGCUAUCGCCUGAAGAGGGGUUUGCGUCUGAUUAGCUGGUUGGAGGGGUAACGGCCCACCAAGGCGACGAUCAGUAGCCGGUCUGAGAGGAUGAACGGCCACACUGGAACUGAGACACGGUCCAGACUCCUACGGGAGGCAGCAGUGGGGAAUCUUCCGCAAUGGGCGAAAGCCUGACGGAGCAACGCCGCGUGAGUGAUGACGGCCUUCGGGUUGUAAAACUCUGUGAUCCGGGACGAAAAGGCAGGGUGCGAAGAACAAACUGCAUUGACGGUACCGGAAAAGCAAGCCACGGCUAACUACGUGCCAGCAGCCGCGGUAAUACGUAGGUGGCAAGCGUUGUCCGGAAUUAUUGGGCGUAAAGCGCGCGCAGGCGGCUUCCCAAGUCCCUCUUAAAAGUGCGGGGCUUAACCCCGUGAUGGGAAGGAGACUGGGAAGCUGGAGUAUCGGAGAGGAAAGUGGAAUUCCUAGUGUAGCGGUGAAAUGCGUAGAGAUUAGGAAGAACACCGGUGGCGAAGGCGACUUUCUGGACGAAAACUGACGCUGAGGCGCGAAAGCGUGGGGAGCAAACAGG